This is a non-coding RNA of Oryctolagus cuniculus (rabbit), 4817 nucleotides long. NCBI's taxonomy places the organism in Eukaryota, Metazoa, Chordata, Mammalia, Lagomorpha, Leporidae. The record is from RefSeq and is a predicted model, not a curated record.
UUUUUUUUUUUUUUUUGACAGGCAGAGUAGACAGUAAGAGAGACAGAGAGAAAGGUCUUCCUUUGCCGGUGGUUCACCCUCCAAUGGCCGCUGCGGCCGGUGCGGUGAUCCGAUGGCAGGAGCCAGGUACUUAUCCUGGUCUCCCAUGGGGUGCAGGGCCCAAGGACUUGGGCCAUCCUCCACUGCACUCCCUGGCCACAGCAGAGAGCUGGCCUGAAAGAAGGGCAACCGGGACAGAAUCCGGUGCCCUGACCGGGACUAGAACCCGGUGUGCUGGCGCUGCAAGGCGGAGGAUUAGCCUAGUGAGCCACAGCGCCGGCCUGAGGCUGAUUCUAAAGAAAUCCCUGACUCGACAAGGUAAGACAUGGAAGGGAACAGCCAUUUUCUAACUCUCCCCCCGCCUUGGUCUUGAGUGGAAUAGUCUAUCCUGUGCAUCUAAGGACAGGAAGAAGGUUUUGUUGAUCACUUUACAAGGGGGUUGUAAUUACUGUGUUUUUGUUAAACUUUUUUAACUUCCUGGUGAGGGAAUUUAAGAGGACAAAAUAAUUUUAGAACUAAUAUGUAUAAAAAGAGAAAGUGAUUGUCAAGCAGCAUUCAUCCAACUGUAUUAUUUUUAAAAGAUUUAUUUAUUUAUUUAUUUGAGAGUCAGAGUUACAGAGAGAGAAGGAGAGGCAGGGAGAGGGAGAGAGGUCUUCCAUCCGCUGGCUCAUUCCCCAAUUGGCUGCAACGGCCAGAGCUUGGCCGAAGCCAGGAGCCAGGAGCUUCCUCCAGGUCUUCCCAAAUGGGUGCAGAGGCCCAAGGACUUAGGCCAUCCUCUACUGCUUUCCCAGGCCAUAGCAGAGAGCUGGAUUGGAAGUGGAGCAGCUGGGACUUGAACUGGCACCCACAUGGGAUGCCAACACUACAGGCGGUGGCUUUACCUUGUAUGCCACAGCGCUGGCCCCUAUCCAACUUUAAUGUGCAUACAAAUCUCUGAAAUCUUGAUAAAACACAGGUUUUUAAUUUUUUUUUUUUAAUUUGCCUGUGUUGUGGAGCAGCAGGUUAAACGGCUGCUUGAGAUAUCAGCAUCUGCUAUCAGUCCCGGCUGUUCUGCUUCUGAUUCAACUCCUUGCUAAUGUGCCUGGGAAGGCAGCAGAUGCUCUCAAGUGCUGGGCCUCUGCCACCCAUGUGGGAGAUCAUGAUGGAGUUCCUGGCUCCCGGCUUUGGCCUAGCUCAGCACUGGCUGUUGCAGCUAUUUGGCAAAUGAACCAACAGGUGGAAGAUCUCUCUUCCUCUCUGUCAGUUUGUCUUUCAAGUCAAUUAAUAAAUAAAUCUUUAAACUUUGAGAGGGAAUGAGAAGGGUUGAGAGAGAUGUGAAAAACCAAACACUCCAAUCCACUGGUUCACUCAUCCAGUGCCUCCAACAGCUGCUUCUGGGCCUGGGCCUGGGCCUGGGCCAGAGCCAGGAGCCAGAAACACAACCCAGGUUUCCCAGCUGAGUGACAGGAACCCACCUACUUGAGCCAUCUUUUGGCAGGAAGCGGGUGUCAGAGCUGGAGCCAGAAUUAAACCCAGCUACUCUAAGUUGAGAUUUGAGUUUUGUAACAAUGAGGAUAAAAGCCUGCUGUAAAAUGCAGAUUUAAUGGGACUGAGGUGGGGACAGAUAUCCUGCACUCAUGCCCAUAUCCCAGGUGAUGCCUGUGCUGGUAGUAUGGAAACUAUACUUUAAGCAGCAAGUUACUGAAGGAUAAUGGGUAAGCAAAGAGAUAGGGGGUUAUGAAGUUUGGAUUUAUAACACUCCUUUCAGUUCUGAAGUAUGGUCCUUCAGGUUAAACAAAACACAAUCUUUGUUUCAGUUCGACUGCCAAAACAUUUCACAAAAAUUGCAUAUGUUUCACAGCUUUUGAGGGAGGUGAUUGAUGUAAUCACUGUGUCACUACUAAACAUUAAGACAUACCUUCAGUUUGCACCCUGGUGCCAUGUGCUAUCUUAAAAUGCUAGUCCCUACAAGUUCCAGUCAGUUGCAGCUCUAUUUUUUUUUUUCAUGUACUUCCUUGACAUUUGAAAUGUGCAUAAUAAUUACAGGAAUGAGAGUUCCAAGUGUUACUUUUCACAGAGCUUCUGGUAAAGGAUAGUACAAGAGGACUUCAAAACGUUGUGGAAAAUGUAAUUACAUUAUUUUGGUGUCCCAAAUUUUGAAUUUUUCUUUCAUUCCUCCACUCUUUCUUUCCUUCCUUCCCUUUUCUUCUUCCUUCUUCUUCUCUCCUCCUUUCCUUCUCUCUCUCCCCCUCCUUCCCUGCCUCCCUUCAUUUAUUUAGAAAGCAGACAGAGUCACAGACCAUUCUUCCUCUGCUGGUUUACUCCUCAGACGCCCGCAACAGCCAGGUCAGAUGAUUCCCUUCAGCCGAAUUCUCUUUGUUCUCUGAAGGAGUUUGACGAAUCCAGUUUUCUCAUAACUCAAGUCGCGCCCUUCCAACAACUGAUUGAGUGUCUGAAUUCCAGCAUUUUGCUCUGCCUUCCUUCUGUAUUGUGCAGUACAGUCUAAGCUCUUGGAGAGCUCAUCUUGUGGUAAAGCCAUCAGCUCACAGGAAUUCAAGUGUCUGAUCAUGUUUGGAUGAAAGUGCCCAAACUAAGGAACACGAGGGCAAAGCAAGUGGAAAUGCUCCGGGGCUGUGUCUUCUGUCUGGCUUAUUCUUCCUCCUUACCCAUCUGGCAAACUCCUGCUCAUCCUGCAAGGCCCAGAUAAAGUAGUUCCUGAACUUCAUAGGCUUCCUCAUCUCACCAUGGCAGAGUUAAAGGCUCCCACAUUUGCUUUUUGUCAGCAUAACAUCAGGUGCUCAGAAACCAGUUGCAACAGAACCGUGCGCUUUCAGCCUUUUGUUCAUAGUAAGCCUCAGUCAGAGAAAACUGCCUCGAUCAACAACAGUGCAGGGCUUUGCAUCCGUCUUGCUAAAGCAGAGCAUUUGGUGAGGAAAUGGGAUGUGAUUACGACUGAGAGGGCUGUGCCCCUGAAGGCUUAUUUUCCUGUGCAUAAUAUUCCAACUCUGUGCAGAAGCUUGAGACAAGAAGGAAGAGAAAAAAGGAAGCGAGGAAGGAAGAUUGGUGAGGAGCAGAAAAGGCAAACUAUUCAAGCCUGCAAUCUGAGCGCAGUUCAAGCUAGAUGCCCCUACUCUUAGAGCUCAAUACCAGAAUGUUGCAGACCACGCUCAUAAUUUAGUUUAUGGCUGAUCUUUAUAGUAAUAAAAAAAAAUCUAGAAAGAAGCUGCCUGGCACCAUUUGCUGAAGACGUUUUUUAAUACUGUCAAAUGAUUCAUAAUUAUAAAGGGUGGGUGUACCGUGUUCGCUCUGUAGUGGUUAUGUGGAGACUCAUUAAGCACUGUGUGCAUCCAAGAGUCCUGUUUUAUGUAAACAAGACCUCUGAGGAAGAUAUAGAUGGGUAAUAAAGAUGAAAGGAAAUGAAGCAUAUUAACGUGAGGACAAAUUAAUAACGGCCUUUCCAUCCUCUAACAGGAAAAAUCAGUUGCUUUGGAAUAAUUGCUCUUUUCAGUGCAGAAGGGGAACAAAAACCCAGACAAAGCAAUCAACAGAGGAUGCAAUCCGACGGGGAUCCUGGUCACACUACUCUAUGAAGACAGUCUGCACCUUCAGAAACGUACCUGCUUGCCCUGCCAGGCCUCCGAGGGCAGCUGCAAAGAGUUCUUACCUGGCCCCAGAUGAAAUCACCUUCAAGGCUUUUUUAUGGUCACUGGGGCUCUCAUGGUCACCGGGGCAUGAAGAGGCUAUGCAAAUGGAUGGGCGAGCAAGUAAGAGGAAAGUAGAAGCAUCCAAAGGCUGAGAUGGCAGGGAAUUGAGAAAGGAAGGAAGAUAACAUCUGUAAAACACCAUUUCAUUUCUCUUCUCGCAAAAUAGUGGGAGCCUGUGUGGUGUUGAGAUUGGAUUGAAAUGAAUGUAGUGUUAGCGAAACAAGGCUGAACUAACACUGGUGGAGCUGUUUUCAUAUCAGCAAUUUACUGUCUGAAUUCCCAGACAAGUAAGUCAGCUAAACUGAGUUUAUAACUGACCAGGGUCUGUGCAAGUCGCCUCAUUACACCGUAAGCAACCUGUGGGAUCACCCAGGCUUUUACCUGGCUGAAGCCUACUUGUCCAUAGUUGACAAGAAGACAGCUCCAAAGGGCCUGUUCCCUGUCACUGAAUUCCAGGUGUUCCCACAGAUGGCCUCUUCCCCGAAUCUUCAGGCCUUUCUCUAGCCCUGGCAUCCAGCUGUCUUGCUGCCUGCUAGUUUCAUCAAACCUCUUUGGUUUGUUUCUGCUGGUGAAUUGCCCUGAGCAAGGCAGGGACUAUGCGGAGAUAAACCUGCCAGCAGGGGUGCACAAUUUAAGGAAACACUUUGUCUCAGGAGCUUACUCCGCACUGACACAGACUUGAUAGUAAGUGCCUCCUUAAAGUUUGCCCCAUGGGUUCAUUGCUACUGCUCUAGUCCCCAUUCUGGGUGGGACACGCAGUGGGAGCUGGAGGGAGAUCUGUGCCUUGGGUCAGUUCAAGGGACCUCAAGGCCAGCUCCCUCUUACUCAGCCUUUUCUCUUUGCCUAAACUUCUCUUUCUAUAUAGUAAAGAAUUGUAUGGGGCCGGCGCCGUGGCUCAAUAGGCUAAUCCUCCGUCUGCAGCACCAGCACACUGGGUUCUAGUCCCGGUUGCCCCUCUUCCAGGCCAGCUCUCUGCUGUGGCCAGGGAGUGCAGUGGAGGAUGGCCCAAGUACUUGGGCCCUGCACCCCAUGGGAGACCAGGAGAAGCACCUGGCUCCUGCCAUCGGAUCAGCGCAGUGCACCAGCCGCAGCGGC